RNAcentral lists this ribosomal RNA (253 nucleotides) under uncultured bacterium. RNAcentral's name for it is "partial 16S ribosomal RNA". It matches the Rfam family "Bacterial small subunit ribosomal RNA", at positions 524 to 776 of the family's 1533-position model. The record is from RNAcentral.
UACGUAGGGGGCAAGCGUUGUCCGGAAUUAUUGGGCGUAAAGCGCGCGCAGGCGGUUUCUUAAGUCUGAUGUGAAAGCCCACGGCUCAACCGUGGAGGGUCAUUGGAAACUGGGGAACUUGAGUGCAGAAGAGGAAAGUGGAAUUCCAAGUGUAGCGGUGAAAUGCGUAGAGAUUUGGAGGAACACCAGUGGCGAAGGCGACUUUCUGGUCUGUAACUGACACUGAGGCGCGAAAGCGUGGGGAGCGAACAGG